GACGAACGCUGGCGGCGCGCCUAACACAUGCAAGUCGAACGAGCGAGAGGGAGCUUGCUUUCUCGAGCGAGUGGCGAACGGGUGAGUAACGCGUGAGGAACCUGCCUCAAAGAGGGGGACAACAGUUGGAAACGACUGCUAAUACCGCAUAAGCCCACGGGUCGGCAUCGACCAGAGGGAAAAGGAGCAAUCCGCUUUGAGAUGGCCUCGCGUCCGAUUAGCUAGUUGGUGAGGUAACGGCCCACCAAGGCGACGAUCGGUAGCCGGACUGAGAGGUUGAACGGCCACAUUGGGACUGAGACACGGCCCAGACUCCUACGGGAGGCAGCAGUGGGGAAUAUUGCACAAUGGGGGAAACCCUGAUGCAGCGACGCCGCGUGGAGGAAGAAGGUCUUCGGAUUGUAAACCUCUGUCGCAGAAGACGAAGGAAGUGACGGUAUUCUGUGAGGAAGCCCCCGGCUAACUACGUG
RNAcentral lists this ribosomal RNA (470 nucleotides) under uncultured bacterium. Its description in RNAcentral is "bacterial SSU rRNA". It matches the Rfam family "Bacterial small subunit ribosomal RNA", at positions 28 to 507 of the family's 1533-position model. The record is from RNAcentral.